Molecule: ribosomal RNA, 408 nt
Filed under: uncultured Methylomirabilota bacterium
Lineage: Bacteria; Methylomirabilota (SeqCode)
Description: bacterial SSU rRNA
Rfam family: Bacterial small subunit ribosomal RNA
Source: RNAcentral
CGUGGAGACAGGUGGUGCAUGGCUGUCGUCAGCUCGUGUCGUGAGAUGUUGGGUUAAGUCCCGCAACGAGCGCAACCCUCACCCCUAGUUGCCACCGGGUAAAGCCGAGCACUCGAGGGGAACUGCCAGCGUCAAGCUGGAGGAAGGCGGGGAUGACGUCAAGUCAUCAUGCCCCUUACGCCCUGGGCUACACACGUGCUACAAUGGCCAGUACAAAGGGACGCGAGACCGCGAGGUGGAGCUAAUCCCAAAAAACUGGCCUAAGUUCAGAUCGCAGUCUGCAACUCGACUGCAUGAAGGAGGAAUCGCUAGUAAUCGCGCAUCAGCCCGGCGCGGUGAAUACGUUCCCGGGCCUUGUACACACCGCCCGUCACACCACGAAAGCUGUCUGUACUCGAAGUCGCUGAG